AUAGCCCAUGGGGCACCGGCACUGCAUACGAGAAAGACAACAACUGUGACAACAUGAACAUGUUAACUGUGUUUGUCCUAAUAGCAAUAUCUGUUGCAGAUUCCAGGGGUCAGACUCUGACUGAAUCUGAGCCUGUAGUUCUUAAACCCGGAGACUCCCACAAACUGACCUGCACGUACUCUGGCUUUAGCAGUGAUCCUUGGAUAGCGUGGAUCAGACAAGGUCCAGGAAAAGGGCUGGAGUGGCUGGCUCUAAUUCACCCCACAUCAAGAAGUUCUACAUACUACGCUCAGUCCAUUCAGGGAAGGUUCACAAUUUCCAGAGACAACAGCAAGAAACAGAGUUACCUACAGAUGAACAGCCUGAAAACCGAAGACUCUGCUGUGUACUACUGUGCUCGAGAGCCACAGUGAGAGAUAAAGCUUAAGUGCAGCACAAAAACACAUGCCAUUUUUCUGGAUCAGGGGACAAAGUGUAACUGCAGUUCAGAUAGGACCAAAAUACCUUUCCUUGUAAAAAAAAAAAAAAACUCAAUGAUAAAUGUUCACAUAACAUGAAGUACCAAAUAUCGCAAAUACAAAGUCAUUAUUUGUUCACCUUAGUAUUUAUUUUUUCAUAAAUGAUUUAUUUAUUUACCCACCAAUCUUUUGUCUACUGUGACGAUACACAAGUGCCUUUCAUUGA
This is a non-coding RNA of Clupea harengus (Atlantic herring), 684 nucleotides long. NCBI's taxonomy places the organism in Eukaryota, Metazoa, Chordata, Actinopteri, Clupeiformes, Clupeidae. The record is from the annotation of a RefSeq genome assembly.